RNAcentral lists this ribosomal RNA (908 nucleotides) under uncultured bacterium. RNAcentral describes it as "bacterial SSU rRNA". It matches the Rfam family "Bacterial small subunit ribosomal RNA", at positions 62 to 995 of the family's 1533-position model. The record is from RNAcentral.
UCGAACGGGGGCUUCGGCCCCAGUGGCGAACGGUCGCGUAACACGUAAGCAACCUGCCCUGAAGUGGGGGACAACAUUCCGAAAGGGGUGCUAAUACCGCAUGUGGUCACGAGUCGGCAUCGACUUGUGUCUAAAGAUUUAUCGCUUCAGGAUGGGCUUGCGGCCUAUCAGGUAGUUGGUGGGGUAAUGGCCUACCAAGCCGACGACGGGUAGCUGGUCUGAGAGGACGAUCAGCCGGAUUGGGACUGAGAUACGGCCCAGACUCCUACGGGGGGCAGCAAUUAGGAAUCUUGCGCAAUGGGGGAAACCCUGACGCAGCGACGUCGCGUGAAGGAUGAAGGCCCUCGGGUCGUAAACUUCUUUUGAGUGGGAAGAAAUUUGACGGUACCACUCGAAUAAGCCCCGGCUAACUACGUGCCAGCAGCCGCGGUAAUACGUAGGGGGCGAGCGUUGUCCGAAGUUACUGGGCGUAAAGCGCGCGUAGGCGGUUAUUUAAGUCUGGGGUGAAAGGUUCAGCGCUCAACGUGAACAGUGCCUUGGAUACUGGAUGACUUGAAGUCUGGGAGGGGGAAGGGGAAUUCCUGGUGUAGCGGUGAAAUGCGUAGAUAUCAGGAGGAACACCGGUGGCGAAGGCGCCUUCCUGGCCUAAGACUGACGCUGAGGUGCGAAAGCGUGGGGAGCAAACGGGAUUAGAUACCCCGGUAGUCCACGCCGUAAACGAUGAGUGCUAGGUGUCGGGGGUAUCGACCCCCCCGGUGCCGUCGCUAACGCAUUAAGCACUCCGCCUGGGGAGUACGGCCGCAAGGUUGAAACUCAAAGGAAUUGACGGGACCCCGCACAAGCGGUGGAGCAUGUGGAUUAAUUCGUCACUAACCGAAGAACCUUACCCAGGUUUGACAUCGAGGGUA